This 253-nucleotide ribosomal RNA is filed under the name uncultured bacterium. Its description in RNAcentral is "partial 16S ribosomal RNA". It matches the Rfam family "Bacterial small subunit ribosomal RNA", at positions 524 to 776 of the family's 1533-position model. The record is from RNAcentral.
GACAGAGGGUGCAAACGUUGUUCGGAUUUACUGGGCGUAAAGCGCGUGUAGGCGGCUUUGCAAGUCGGAUGUGAAAUCCCACGGCUCAACCGUGGAAGUGCAUCCGAAACUGCAUCGCUGGAGUCUCGGAGAGGAAGGUGGAAUGCUUGGUGUAGAGGUGAAAUUCGUAGAUAUCAAGCAGAACACCUGCGGCGAAGGCGGCUCUCUGGACCGAUACUGACGCUGAGGCGCGAAAGCGUGGGGAGCAAACAGG